Non-coding RNA from Streptomyces sp. TSRI0107, 75 nucleotides. NCBI's taxonomy places the organism in Bacteria, Bacillati, Actinomycetota, Actinomycetes, Kitasatosporales, Streptomycetaceae. The record is from Rfam.
CUUCACCGAGGCCAGCCACAACGGCCGGUCCUCCGACCGGUCCUGGCCGUACGUGGCGAGCAGCGCCUGCGCCUC